AUGUUUUCUGUUCAAACCCUGAUCGUUGCUGCUCUCCUGGCAGAGCUGGGCCUUGUGGUGGAGUCUUCCUGUUGGGAGGGCGCCAGAUCCUCCAGCUUCGAUCUCUCCAGCGCGUCAGACCAGAGCCGACUUCACAACUCGCCGGUCCAUCGGGCCGUCAGGACGAGGAGACCACUGGGGAGCACGAGCUUCCUGUUAGGACCCCUCAGCCACUCGGCAGAGAAGUCAGUGUCAGUCCCAUCUAACUCAAGCCAUGUGUCCUCAUGGUCCCAAUGGUCCACUUUUUCAUUGGACCCCAUGGUCAGGCUGGCGGUUCCGACUACAGCCUGCUCUUAGAUAACUGUCACUUCGGGGCAGGUCGGAUGAUGGACGACGACUGAUCUCUGGCGCCCUCUAUGGCUACAUCUUUUAACUGCAUCAAAAACUUCUUAUUAGCCUAGAAGGUUUAAGCGCCUCGUGCCUCGAAAACAUAUACAUUUCCACUUAAUUUCAUCCAUUCUCAGGCAUCUGACAAAAGCGUUCUCUUUCAAGCUGAAUCGUUAUGUUACUCCAGAAGCCUGGCAAUAUUCACUUUCAGACUAAAAUAAAUACAGAAAUCAAAUCCAAGUUGUCU
Molecule: long non-coding RNA, 613 nt
Filed under: Gadus morhua (Atlantic cod)
Lineage: Eukaryota; Metazoa; Chordata; Actinopteri; Gadiformes; Gadidae
Description: lncRNA (ENSGMOG00000025468.1)
Source: RNAcentral